This 198-nucleotide non-coding RNA is filed under the name Sulfitobacter sp. The record is from RNAcentral. Lineage: Bacteria; Pseudomonadati; Pseudomonadota; Alphaproteobacteria; Rhodobacterales; Roseobacteraceae.
CAUAUCAACACGGUGCAAGGUGCGGGCUUCGGUCCGAGAAUUGGGAAGCCGGCGAAAAUCCGGCACUGCCCCCGCAACGGUAAGAUCGUGAGGGGCGCAACAGCGGCCACUGGGCAGGAGGAGCCCGGGAAGGCGUUGCGCUGGGGCCCGGACGGGCCGCGAUCAAGUCCGGAAACCAGCCUUGGCAAAGAUGUUUAA